This 546-nucleotide ribosomal RNA is filed under the name uncultured Glomeromycotina. RNAcentral's name for it is "SSU rRNA". It matches the Rfam family "Eukaryotic small subunit ribosomal RNA", at positions 548 to 1098 of the family's 1831-position model. The record is from RNAcentral. Lineage: Eukaryota; Fungi; Glomeromycota.
UUGGAGGGCAAGUCUGGUGCCAGCAGCCGCGGUAAUUCCAGCUCCAAUAGCGUAUAUUAAAGUUGUUGCAGUUAAAAAGCUCGUAGUUGAAUUUCGGGAUUAGUACGCUGGUCGUGCCUUCGGUACGUACUGGUGUUACUGAUUUCUACCUUCUGACGAACCAUCAUGUCAUUAAUUUGGUGUGGUGGGGAAUCAGGACUGUUACUUUGAAAAAAUUAGAGUGUUUAAAGCAGGCUCGCGCUUGAAUACAUUAGCAUGGAAUAAUGAAAUAGGACGUUGAUCCUAUUUUGUUGGUUUCUAGGAUUGACGUAAUGAUUAAUAGGGAUAGUUGGGGGCAUUAGUAUUCAAUUGUCAGAGGUGAAAUUCUUGGAUUUAUUGAAGACUAACUACUGCGAAAGCAUUUGCCAAGGAUGUUUUCAUUAAUCAAGAACGAAAGUUAGGGGACCGAAGACGAUCAGAUACCGUCGUAGUCUUAACCAUAAACUAUGCCGACUAGGGAUCGGAUGAUGUUAUUUUUAAUGACUCAUUCGGCGCCUUACGGGAAAC